GAUGAAGAACGCAGUGAAAUGCGAUAAGUAAUGUGAAUUGCAGAAUUCAGUGAACCAUCGAAUCUUUGAACGCACAUUGCGCCCGGCAGUAAUCUGCCGGGCAUGCCUGUCCGAGCGUCAUUUCUGCCCUCGAGCGAGUCCAGCAUCUAGGUGCUGGGCCCGCCCGGCGUUGGGGCACUACGGGAAGCCCUGUGCUGUCCCCCGUAGGCCCCGAAAUGAAGUGGCGGUCCUGCCGCGGCGCCCCCUGCGUAGUAUAACAGCUCGCUUCGGGACCCGGUGGAGGCCUGCCGUCAAACCUUACUCUCUAAGUUUGACCUCGGAUCAGGUAGGGUUACCAGCUGAACUUAAGCAUAUCAAUAAGCGGAGGA
RNAcentral lists this unclassified non-coding RNA (368 nucleotides) under soil metagenome. RNAcentral describes it as "partial contains 5.8S ribosomal RNA, internal transcribed spacer 2, and large subunit ribosomal RNA". The stretch from base 1 to 120 matches the Rfam family "5.8S ribosomal RNA", at positions 35 to 154 of the family's 154-position model. The record is from RNAcentral.